GACGAACGCUGGCGGCGUGCUUAACACAUGCAAGUCGAACGGAAAGGCCCUGCUUUUGUGGGGUGCUCGAGUGGCGAACGGGUGAGUAACACGUGAGUAACCUGCCCUUGACUUUGGGAUAACUUCAGGAAACUGGGGCUAAUACCGGAUAGGAGCUCCUGCUGCAUGGUGGGGGUUGGAAAGUUUCGGCGGUUGGGGAUGGACUCGCGGCUUAUCAGCUUGUUGGUGGGGUAGUGGCUUACCAAGGCUUUGACGGGUAGCCGGCCUGAGAGGGUGACCGGCCACAUUGGGACUACGAUACGGCCCAGACUGCUACGGGAGGCAGCAGUGGGGAAUAUUGCACAAUGGGCGGAAGCCUGAUGCAGCGACGCCGCGUGCGGGAUGACGGCCUUCGGGUUGUAAACCGCUUUCGCAUGUGACGAAGCGUGAGUGACGGUAAUGGGUAAAGAAGCACCGGCUAACUACGUG
RNAcentral lists this ribosomal RNA (468 nucleotides) under uncultured bacterium. RNAcentral describes it as "partial 16S ribosomal RNA". It matches the Rfam family "Bacterial small subunit ribosomal RNA", at positions 28 to 507 of the family's 1533-position model. The record is from RNAcentral.